GACGAACGCUGGCGGCGUGCUUAACACAUGCAAGUCGAACGGUGAAGCGCUUGCCUUUUUGGUGGGUGUGGAUGAGUGGCGAACGGGUGAGUAACACGUGAGUAACCUGCCCUCUUCUUCUGGAUAACCUCAUGAAAGUGGGGCUAAUACGGGGUAUUCCGGGUCUGUCGCAUGGCGGGUUUGGGAAAGAUUGCGCCUUUGGGUGUUUUCGGUGGGGGAUGGGCUCGCGGCCUAUCAGCUUGUUGGUGGGGUGAUGGCCUACCAAGGCGGUGACGGGUAGCCGGCCUGAGAGGGUGGACGGCCACACUGGGACUGAGACACGGCCCAGACUCCUGCGGGAGGCAGCAGUGGGGAAUAUUGCACAAUGGGCGCAAGCCUGAUGCAGCGACGCCGCGUGAGGGAUGGAGGCCUUCGGGUUGUGAACCUCUUUCGCCAGUGAAGCAGGCCUGCUCCUGUGUGGGUGGGUUGACGGUAGCUGGAUAAGAAGCGCCGGCUAACUACGUG
This 504-nucleotide ribosomal RNA is filed under the name uncultured bacterium. Its description in RNAcentral is "partial 16S ribosomal RNA". It matches the Rfam family "Bacterial small subunit ribosomal RNA", at positions 28 to 507 of the family's 1533-position model. The record is from RNAcentral.